RNAcentral lists this ribosomal RNA (787 nucleotides) under Ophiocordyceps melolonthae. RNAcentral describes it as "eukaryotic LSU rRNA". It matches the Rfam family "Eukaryotic large subunit ribosomal RNA", at positions 100 to 911 of the family's 3401-position model. Lineage: Eukaryota; Fungi; Ascomycota; Sordariomycetes; Hypocreales; Ophiocordycipitaceae. The record is from RNAcentral. RNAcentral also lists the same sequence under 1 other name.
GGCAGCAGCUCAAAUUUGAAAUCUGGCCGCCCCCGCGGGGGGCCCGAGUUGUAAUUUGCAGAGGACGCUUCCGGCGCGGCGCCUUCCGAGUUCCCUGGAACGGGACGCCACAGAGGGUGAGAGCCCCGUACGGUCGGACGCCCAGCCACUGUGAAGCCCCCUCGACGAGUCGAGUAGUUUGGGAAUGCUGCUCAAAACGGGAGGUAUAUGUCUUCUAAAGCUAAAUACCGGCCAGAGACCGAUAGCGCACAAGUAGAGUGAUCGAAAGAUGAAAAGCACUUUGAAAAGAGGGUCAAACAGUACGUGAAAUUGUUGAAAGGGAAGCGCUCGCGACCAGACUUGGGCCCGGUGGAUCACCCGGCGUUCUCGCCGGCGCACUCCGCCGGGCCCAGGCCAGCAUCGGCUCGCCGCGGGGGACAAAGGCGGCGGGAACGUGGCUCCCCAGGGAGUGUUAUAGCCCGCCGCGCAAUGCCCCGCGGCGGACCGAGGCCCGCGCACCGCAAGGAUGCUGGCGUAAUGGUCACCAGCGACCCGUCUUGAAACACGGACCAAGGAGUCGUCUUCGUAUGCGAGUGUUCGGGUGUCAAACCCCUACGCGGAAUGAAAGUGAACGCAGGUGGGAGCCUCGGCGCACCAUCGACCGAUCCUGAUGUCCUCGGAUGGAUUUGAGUAGGAGCAUACGGGGCCGGACCCGAAAGAAGGUGAACUAUGCCUGUAUAGGGUGAAGCCAGAGGAAACUCUGGUGGAGGCUCGCAGCGGUUCUGACGUGCAAAUCGAUCGUCAAAUA